RNAcentral lists this ribosomal RNA (301 nucleotides) under uncultured bacterium. Its description in RNAcentral is "partial 16S ribosomal RNA". It matches the Rfam family "Bacterial small subunit ribosomal RNA", at positions 509 to 807 of the family's 1533-position model. The record is from RNAcentral.
CAGCCGCCGCGGGAAUACAGAGGGUGCAAGCGUUAAUCGGAAUUACUGGGCGUAAAGCGCGCGUAGGUGGUUUGUUAAGUUGGAUGUGAAAUCCCCGGGCUCAACCUGGGAACUGCAUUCAAAACUGACUGACUAGAGUAUGGUAGAGGGUGGUGGAAUUUCCUGUGUAGCGGUGAAAUGCGUAGAUAUAGGAAGGAACACCAGUGGCGAAGGCGACCACCUGGACUAAUACUGACACUGAGGUGCGAAAGCGUGGGGAGAAAACAGGAUUAGAUACCCCCGUAGUCCCUGUCUCUUAUAC